This 302-nucleotide ribosomal RNA is filed under the name uncultured bacterium. RNAcentral describes it as "bacterial SSU rRNA". It matches the Rfam family "Bacterial small subunit ribosomal RNA", at positions 1074 to 1397 of the family's 1533-position model. The record is from RNAcentral.
GUUCGGUUAAGUCCGGCAACGAGCGCAACCCACAUCUUUAGUUGCCAUCAGGUUAAGCUGGGCACUCUAGAGAAACUGCCCGUGAUAAGCGGGAGGAAGGUGUGGAUGACGUCAAGUCCUCAUGGCCCUUACGGGUUGGGCUACACACGUGCUACAAUGGCAUCUACAGUGAGUUAAUCUCCAAAAGAUGUCUCAGUUCGGAUUGGGGUCUGCAACUCGACCCCAUGAAGUCGGAAUCGCUAGUAAUCGCGUAACAGCAUGACGCGGUGAAUACGUUCCCGGGCCUUGCACACUCCGCCCGU